UUACGGUCAAAUCAUGCUGAAACACCGGUUCUCGUUCGAUCACCGAAGUUAAGCAUCGUAGAGCCAGGUCAGUACUUAGAUGGGGGGACUGCUUGGGAACACCUGGUACUGUAAGC
RNAcentral lists this ribosomal RNA (116 nucleotides) under Acanthosepion pharaonis. The record is from RNAcentral. Lineage: Eukaryota; Metazoa; Mollusca; Cephalopoda; Sepiida; Sepiidae.